Molecule: long non-coding RNA, 385 nt
Filed under: Rattus norvegicus (Norway rat)
Lineage: Eukaryota; Metazoa; Chordata; Mammalia; Rodentia; Muridae
Description: long non-coding RNA NONRATT005697
Source: RNAcentral
GGGAUUUUUGCCAAACCUGACCCUGUUAAGAUGACGUAUCCAGAGACUCAGCUUCACCAUUCACUGCCCUUACUGUUGAUUUGUGACAAUCUCCGUGACCCUGGGAACCUGGGGACAAUCCUGAGAUCUGCAGCUGGAGCAGGCUGCAGUAAAGUCUUACUCACCAAAGAUCCUGAAGUGCACUGAGAAAGGCCUCUGUGUUUGCAGCAAGGUUUACCUCAGCUAACAUCCCAGAGCUGUCUCCCACAAGCCCUACUCCCUGGCCCACACUGAGGAAGACAUAGGAGGCAAAAGACACACGUGUAGGACGUUACUGGAAAAGUAGUGUGGUGUGCUUCAAGGUGACGCUGACACUGUACCUGUCUGCACUAACAAAGAUGAUCUC